GGGUAUAGCUCAAGUGGUAGAGCACAUGCUUAGCAUGCACUAGGUCCUGGGUUCAAUCCCCAGUAUCUCCA
Molecule: transfer RNA, 71 nt
Filed under: Camelus bactrianus (Bactrian camel)
Lineage: Eukaryota; Metazoa; Chordata; Mammalia; Artiodactyla; Camelidae
Also listed under: 1 other name
Rfam family: tRNA
About the family: Transfer RNA (tRNA) molecules are approximately 80 nucleotides in length. Their secondary structure includes four short double-helical elements and three loops (D, anti-codon, and T loops). Further hydrogen bonds mediate the characteristic L-shaped molecular structure. tRNAs have two regions of fundamental functional importance: the anti-codon, which is responsible for specific mRNA codon recognition, and the 3' end, to which the tRNAs corresponding amino acid is attached (by aminoacyl-tRNA synthetases). tRNAs cope with the degeneracy of the genetic code in two manners: having more than one tRNA (with a specific anti-codon) for a particular amino acid; and 'wobble' base-pairing, i.e. permitting non-standard base-pairing at the 3rd anti-codon position.
Source: Rfam by way of RNAcentral